This 297-nucleotide ribosomal RNA is filed under the name uncultured bacterium. Its description in RNAcentral is "partial 16S ribosomal RNA". It matches the Rfam family "Bacterial small subunit ribosomal RNA", at positions 333 to 627 of the family's 1533-position model. The record is from RNAcentral.
CUCGACCUACGGGACGCAGCAGUGAGGAAUAUUGGUCAAUGGUCGGGAGACUGAACCAGCCAAGCCGCGUGAGGGAUGAAGGUACAGAGUAUCGUAAACCUCUUUUGUCAGGGAACAAAGGCGGGGACGUGUCCCCGGAUGAGUGUACCUGAAGAAAAAGCAUCGGCUAACUCCGUGCCAGCAGCCGCGGUAAUACGGAGGAUGCGAGCGUUAUCCGGAUUUAUUGGGUUUAAAGGGUGCGUAGGCUGUCGGAUAAGUUAGAGGUCAAAUGUCGGGGCUUAACCCCGUGCCUGCCUC